RNAcentral lists this long non-coding RNA (15071 nucleotides) under Brachypodium distachyon (stiff brome). RNAcentral's name for it is "long non-coding RNA (BDIS_LNC005761)". The stretch from base 9739 to 9863 matches the Rfam family "MIR1120/MIR1122 microRNA precursor family". Lineage: Eukaryota; Viridiplantae; Streptophyta; Magnoliopsida; Poales; Poaceae. The record is from RNAcentral.
UCUCACCCCCUAUAAUUCAUUCAUCCAUAUUUUAUUCAUAUGCUUCAACCGUUUUUGUAAAAAAUCUAUAUUUCAAACUACUUGACUUGAAAUUAUAUAUUUGAAAUGCUUAUAAUUUAAAUUGAAUAGUUUUAUUCUUAUAUUCAUUUAAGUACAUAAACUAUAAUAUUAUAAUUUAAUUAUCAAACGGCUAUAUUCUCAACGGCUAUAUUUUCAACGGAUAUAUUUCUUGGUCUACAUAUAUGUGGAGCUCUGAAGCCAUUGUCCAUUCACUCUCCACCACAUCUCUUAGUCCAUUCACUCUCUACCACAUCUCUCAGCCUCCUCUCACAAAAAUGAGUUGUAGCUUACUUUGGCAAUACAUGAGUUCGUCGUCGUCGUCGUCGUCGUCGUCGGAGGAGGAGGAGGAGGAGGAGCAUGAAGAUGACGGCCAUGAACUAAUGGUUGCCACGGCGGCAAUAGUUCUCGACGCGAACACGCGGUUCAAUGCUCGACGCCGUCGCGGUUCAGUGCCGGGUUGUCAGGUAAUUAACCGUGAUACGGCAGGUGGGCAUGCUAGAUUAUUCGAAGACUACUUCGCGCAGCAUCCUGUCUAUGGCGCCUCGUAUUUCCGCCGAAGGUAAGCAAUGCGUACAUAUGGUUUUUACUUGCAUUUAUAUUGUUCCUCUAGUGUUCAACUAAUUACCUUUGUUUUCACAGGUUUUGAAUGUCUCGGCCGUUGUUUUUCCGCAUAGUGAAAGCUGUGCGGGAAGACGAUAGCUAUUUUGUGCCGAAAAGAAAUGCUGAUGGAAAAUUUGGGUUAUCAUCUCUUCAGAAGGCUACCGCAAUGUUCCGAAUGUUGACUUAUGGUGUAGCAUCGGAUGCUACAGAUGAGUACGUUCGGAUUGGAGGAAGUACUCCUUUGAAAAGUAUGAAAACAUUUGUUAGAGCUAUUGUUGAAGUUUCGGAGAUGAGUAUCUUAGAUCUCCAAAUGAAGCCGAUACCGCUAGAUUGCUUGCAAUUGGAGAGAGCAGAGAGUUCCAUGGAAUGCUAGGGAGCAUCGACUGCAUGCAUUGGUGGUGGAAAAAUUGCCCUUCAUCAUGGCAAGGUAUGUAGUGCAUGAGCCCACAAUCAUUCUAGAAGCUGUUGCUUCACAAGAUCUUUGGAUUUGGCAUGCCUUCUUUGGUUUACCUGGCUCUCUUAAUGACAUCAAUGUUCUUCACCGUUCCCCGAUCUUUGCAAGGCUAGCAGAAGUGCAAGCUCCACAAGUUAAUUUUACAGUAAAUGAUAACAAUUAUACAAUGGGGUACUACCUUGCCGAUGGCAUAUACCCGCAGUGGGCAACAUUGGUGAAGACAAUACCCUCUCCACUAGGGCAGAAGAAUAAACAUUUUGCAAAAUGUCAAGAAGCACAUAGGAAGGAUGUGGAACGAGCAUUUGGAGUGCUUCAAGCUCGUUUUGCAAUUGUUCAUGGACCAGCAAGACUGUGGGAUCAAGAAGUACUCCAUGAUAUCAUCAUAGCUUGUGUUAUCAUGCAUAACAUGAUAGUUGAAGACGGGUGAGAUGAAGGUCCGCAAGACUACAAUUACGACAACAUGGGAGAAAAGGUUAUCCCUCUCAUGCACAAACAGCUGAAUUCUCGAACUUAAUUCAAAAUCAUCUUGACAUCCGCAACGCACAAGUCUACUCUCAACUAAAGGAUGACCUGGUUGAGCACCUAUGGCAAAUUUAUGGGGCAAUGUAGUGUGCAAUGUCGUAUGUAGUUAGAGUUAGGAUCUAAGUCGGAAAGGUUUUGUCCCGAAGAAGGUUACCUUGCCGACUUGAUCUAUUUAGCAUGUACUAUUUUUACAUUAUGGAGAGGUGUAAUAUAUAUUAUGUAUGGUACUGUAUGCAACUACUUUAACGAAUUAUGCCAUACUCAAAUAUUUAAUACAACAACAUAGUCCAUACUCAAAUAUUUAAUACAACAACACAGUCCAUACUCAAAUAAUGCAUAGAAUAGCAUAGUCCAUACUCAAAUAGUGCAUAGAACACCAUAGUCCAUACUCAAAUAGUUAAUACAACAACAUACUCAAAUUGAUCUUUUAGAUCGUCGGUCAAUGAUAUCACGCCGUAGCAUCUUGUAGUAUUCUUUUUGGUCAUCAUCCAACGAACUAAGAUCCUUAUUUAUUAUCUCCAUUUCCAUCUUCCUUUCGUCAAAUUCAUAGUUCCUUUUCUCCAUUGCAAGUGCUCCAACAUAACGCUUUUCCUUUGCAUCCUCUCUUGCUUGUCUUGCUGUUUCUCUUGCCAUCUCUCUUUCUUGUCUUGCUGUUUCUCUUGCCAUCUCCAUCUCUGUCCUCUUUGAGAACUCAACAUCCAAAGCCAUCACAACAUUACUAUCUUCUAAAGAGGUAACAUUUUUACCUCGACGUUGCCGUUCUUUCUCCGCCUUCUUCCCAAUAGGUCUCUUCAUGUGAUCCGCUUUGACAGGAGAUGUAGUUUCAAAGUCAUCAAGAUGGAUCGUGUUGGCUUCUUGAGUAGACAUGUUUGGACUUGCAUUGGAGCUUGACUUCUGCUUUUUAUUACUUUGAGAUGACCUAUCAACUUGAGCUAACCACUUUUGUUCGAAACGCAACAUGUUCCAACAAUGCAUUAGCACAAACCCUUUAUUGGUCUUAUCUUGUGACUUGAACAAUUUGAGAGCAUCAACAAUCUGCACAAGUGAACAUGUCUCGGUAUAUUUGCACCUAACAUAUGAAUAUACAAUGAAAUUAAACAACUAGGUGAACUACCUUGUCUUGCUCUGUCUUCCCGCUUUCGCGCCUAUGCGUAAUUUGCUCAUAACAUCCACAAAACCUACCCACUUGUUCUUUCACAGCGGACCAACGAUGCGAUAAGGAAUUGACAUUGUGAUCACUUCCUUCUGGCUUGUGGGAUUCAUACUCCUCAUGAAUCCUAUUCCAAUAAGUGGCAUUCUUUUGUUCAGUACCUACUAUUGGAUCCAUACUAGCAUGCAACCAUGCAACCACCAAAACUUCAUCUUCUUUAUCGGUGAAAUUUCCUUUCCUCUUGUUAUUUGCUUUUACUGGAGGAGUAGGAACUUCAGCAUGUAUUGGUGUAUGAUCUGCUGCGUACAAACCCAGAGGACUACUCAAAUUUUGGCCCCAAGCUUCUUCGUUGUAUCCUUCACUCAACAUAUUUGUGUACAAACCCAUAGGAGAACUGUGAUCAUCCAUCAAGUGUAUGAACUGCUACCAUGAAAGAAAUUAUAAGCAAUUUAGUCACAAUUGUAUGAUCUAAUCUCAUGAAAGAACUACUAAAUUGAUCUACCAAUUUAACCUCUUCUCUCUUCUCUCUUCUCUCUUCUUUCUUCUUUCUCAUCUCUCUGCUAUCUCUUUCUCUCCUCUCUGUUCUGCCAAAGCCCCCGACCUCACCUCCCCUCCUCUCUGGCUCUCCAUUCUGCCCGCGCGCCCCCGACCCGCCCAGCACCGCCGCCGGCCUCCCCAUCUCGCCCAGCACCGCCUCCAGCUUUCGCAUCUCGCCCAGCACCGCCGCCUCCCCAUGUCCCCCAUCCCGCCCAGCACCGUUCCCGGCCUCAACAUCUCGCCCAGCAGCGCCUCCCCAUCCCGCCCAGCACUGCCGCCAGCCUCCCCCAUCUCGCCCGCCACUGCCGCGACCCGUCCCCGACCCAUCCUCGGCCGGUGACGCCUGCCUCCCCAUCGGCCAAAAACGCGAAUCGAGGGAGAGAAGGGAGGGAAGGAGGACGAACCUUGGCGCGAAUCGGAGCUGGCCGUUGAGAUCCUUGCUUCCGGGAGCCCCUAGCCGGCACCUCAGUUUGGGUCGUUGGGAGGGCGAUUUGGGGGCGCCCUCAGUUUCGCGAGGAAGAUAGGGAGACUGCUGGAUGCAUUUUUUUUUUUGCUAGAAAACCUAUAUUUGAGGAUAGGGGAUGAAGUAGGAGCUCUCUCGGUGAUGCUCUAAUCCUUGAAAAACGAGGCGAAGCUAAGUUAGCCAACAAAAACAUAGCAAACAAUAGAGUAUAAGGAAAGGUGGCACAUAUGUUACCGGAGGUGGCACUGUCCAGUCAGAACAUGCCAAAACUUUAAAUGGAGUAAAAGUCCAUGGAAAGCUUCUUAAAUUGGGUAAUGGAAAGCUUCUUAAAUUGGGUAAUCCUGAGAACAUUAUGCUAGAUAAGAAAAAAGGUGUCGUAAUGUCUGAUACAGAUGGUAAAAUAAAUUAAAAUACAUGCUUCAAAAAGAUAAACGAGAGUAGUGCAUGGAAACACUAAGCUCACACUAGAUUUAAACUAUCACCGAGCGCCGGCUAGUCAAGUUUUAUGUAUCCAAUUUUGUGUAUGCUGUAAAAGUUGUGCACAUUUUGUUACAGAACGCAUAUCUUGUCUCUUUUCGACCCAUAUUUCAUCUGGGUAGUCAAUAUAUCGGUAAGCUUUUUUUUUUGCGAAAAAUAUAUCGGUAAGCUGCUUGCGUUGUUUUCAAUGGAGACAAUUUGUCUUCACGGUGGACAUAUCUAUAAAUAUCUUGCAUUGUUCAAAGAACAUUGAGUUUGACCAUUCAGUGCCAAAAGCGCCCAUAAUUAAACAAGAAUGGUUGGAGCAUCCUAUUCUUCUCUCAUUUUGCGGCCCUCUCUCCUUCUCCUCACCUCACUGGCGUUCGACGAGGCAACGCUAGGCGGCAGAGGGGCUGGCGGCUCCGCCACGUCGUUGCCUGACAUGUGGGCCCAAAGUCUAGGUGGCAGUCACGUCAUGCGGCCGGAGCUGCGCAUACAGGCGAGAAAGCUGGGAUAAACCACUUAACAAAUAAUGAUGACCCAAACGUGCAUUUUCAAAGAUCAGGGAUCUACUUGACACCUUCGUAAAAGAAUAGGGACAUCGGAUGCAUUUUAUUCUUUUACAAUUUACGCAGCAAGUACCUUCGUUCUAAAAUAUAGGGUGUACCGUAAAACUCUUGACUGUCAAAUUUUCUAUACUUUUUCAUGGUUGUCCAGAAAAAAUAUUAAUGUGUACUAUUUAAAUAUAUUUUAUCAUGCUUGUUGAUGAAUAAACUAUGUAAAUAUAAUUUAUUAUAUCUAGUAUUUUUUAUUCGGGGCUUUAAAUGUUAUUUUUCUCUAUGAAUUUGAUCAAAUUUGUUAAAUUUUAAUAGUCAAUGAAAAUUAUACACCUUAUAUAUAUUUGUAACAGAGAGAGUAUUAAAAUCACUAUGACGUCGAACUCAUGGAUCACGGCACCAGCUACAGUGACGCCGAUGUUAGUUUAUCCGGUGCAUCAUGAGCGCCAUUUAGCGCUAACCCGCGUUCCGGCCCCAUUUUCCUUAGCACCGACCCCAAGGGAUCAGAGAUUCAGAGAUAAAAGGAAAAUUUAGAAGAGACUAUCUGUUCAAUUAGAUUUCAAUCAAGGUCACUUAGGACAAAAGAUACGGCAGCGACAUGGGCGAGCGCAGAGGUGGACGCGAAUGGAAGCAAGAACCCGUGCGGUCGACACCACCCAGCCUGUGCGUGUGUGGAUUUUCGGUUUGUUGUGAAAGAUCACGACGUCUUUGACCAUUGACCGGAGAACAAAAUCCGGCCGCUUAAGCCCAGAAUAAUUCCAAAAGGGAAGCGCUUGCAUUUUCCGUCGGGGACACAGUGGGGGCGAGGCGGAAAGGAAAAUGAGCGCGCGCCCAAAGCAGCCCCGGAAAGCGACCCCGCACCCCGCGCCGGACGUCACCGAUCAUUUCCCUCCCUUUGACUGCCCCCACUUUGUCUUUGAAUGCUCCUUCUUUUCUUGUGUUCCACACGCUCUUUGCUAUGGCAGAUAAGCACCCGAGGAUCUCCAAAAUUGCAUGUGGACCAGUUGGAAAAUCUUGCAAGUUGUUUUUGGAGGUUUCUCAAGACAAUGUUGACUUUUGGAGGAAGAACAACUGCUUCCGUAAAAGAGUUGAAGAACAAUGAGCAGCGUUCCAGUAGUAUGUUGAAAAACAUUUCCAAGGAAGCAAGGAAUGAAGGAAAGAAACGAAAAAAAGGCGUUUGGAAAAAUUGCGACCACCAGGGAGCAUUUUGCACGAGCACGGCAGACCAGGGCGCUCGGCGCAAAGGACACUCCACCACCACCACUUCCAUUUCCAUAUACCACCACCCCCACCAUCUUCCCCAGCCUUCCUCCCCUUUCUGCUGCAUUCCCUGCUCCACAAGGAAAAGGAUUGCUAGCCUAGGAGCCAUGGUGAGGAAGGAGACGAGCACGAGCAUGAGGCUCCCGCCUCAGCACCAGGGGCUGGAGGUCAAGAUCCCGAGCUUCUUCCGGUGCCCGAUCUCGCUGGACGUCAUGCGGUCGCCGGUGAGCCUCUGCACGGGCGUCACGUACGACCGCGCCUCCAUACAGCGGUGGCUCGACUCCGGCCACACCACCUGCCCGGCCACCAUGCUCCCGCUCCCCUCCACGGAUCUCGUCCCCAACCUCACACUCCGCAGCCUCAUCGCCCACUGGUCCGCCUCCGCCGCCUCCUGCUCCCCCGCCGCGGCCGGAUCCGUCGCCUUCUUCGCCGCCGGCCCUUCCCCCGCGGGGCUCGUCCGCCAGGUCGCUUCCUCCCUCGGCGGCGGCGCCGACCCUUCCCCCGCGCUCUGCGAGCUCGCGGCCUAUCUCUCCGACGACGACGUCGACGAGUUCGAGAAGAACGCGCUCGUGGGCGCCGGCCGCGCCGCGGAGACCGUCGCGUCCGUGCUCAGACGGAAAGGGGAUCAGAUCGUGAGCGUCGAGGGCGCCGAGGCUGCCGUGAGCGUACUCGCCGCGAUCGUCGCGCUGGACGGCAUCGAGGACGCGAACAAGAGGCGCGUCGCCACGGGCCUCGCCGUGGACGCGGCGGCCUCGGCCGCAUCGCUGGCGCGCGUCCUGCGUGGCGGGAGCGGCCUCGAGGCAAGGAUCGACGCGGCGCGGCUCGCGGGUUUCUUGCUGGACAAUGCCGACGCCGACGCGAAGGCGGCCGUGGCCGAAUCGUCCCAGCUGGUGGCCGAGCUGAUACGGCUCAUCGGGCCCGUCGACGAGAAAGGCAGCCUGGACAAGAAGGCCAUGGGCACCGGCCUCUCGUGCCUGGCCACGAUCUCAGGGCUACGCCGCGCGGCGCGCGCCGAGAUGGUGCGCCUCGGCGCCGUCUCGGCCGCGGUGCGCGCGCUCCACGCCACGGCGGAGCCCGGCGCGUCGGCCAAGGCGCUCCGGAUCCUCGAGUCCGCCGUGGGCUGCGCCGAGGGCCGCGCGGAGCUGUGCAAGGACGCGGAGGAGACCGUCCCUGCCGUGCUCGACAAGAUGAUGAAGUCCGGCCGCGACGGCGCCGAGGCCGCGGUGGCCGUGCUCUGGGCGGUGUGCCACAAGUACAAGGACCGCAGGGCCGCGGACGCCGCCGCGGCGUCCGAGGGCGGGCUGACGAGGCUGCUCCUGCUGCUGCAGAGCGGGUGCUCGCCGCCGGCCAGGCAGAUGGCCGUGGAGCUGCUCAAGAUAUACAAGGUGAACGCCAAAAGCUGCCUCGCCGGCUACGACUCCAAGACCACCCACAUCAUGCCGUUCUGACCCAAGCUAAACGAAUGGCUUGCAAGCUCGGAACAGAACAGGGGAUAAACUUGUUAUUCAUGUUUUCUUUGAUUUGUUUAAACUGUAAGUUGAUAGAGAAAGAGAAGAAUUGAUUCGUGAAGAAGAGAAAAAAUAUGUACAUUGGUAGAGUUUUGACAGAAGAAUAAUAAGUAUGAAAGUAAAUGGAGAUUGACAGCCAGAGAUAUACCAUUCGUGUGCCAAAACAUUUCAGGCGCUCACAGGAGUUCUGGAUUGAUAAUCUUCCAACUUCAUGCAAUCGACACGAGUUCUGGAUUGAUAAGCUUCCAACUUCAUGCAACAAGCGUGCACAUACGUAGUCCGCAGUCAUACUAAUCAUUCCCAUAGUAUGCGUCUGUAACACAAACUUCUCAGAAUUCACAAGUGACAUACUCUGCAGUCCUACUGACUUCAUGGACAGAGGAGCAUUUGCUCAUGGCUUAUCAGGUACACUAACCAGCUAGUUCCAUCAUGCUAAUGAUUCAAGAGUGUCGUUGGUUGGGGGUAGAUUACUGAUUACACAUCCGUAGCUUGAAAGCAACGCGCGUGCUCAUGAGUCAUGACAGAGGAUAAGCCUGAUCGAACAUCUCCACGUUGGCAUCCGAUCGAAGUCCCUGCUCGAUUUGACCCAUCUAGGAUCAUGUCCAGUUCACUCCACUCCACCCACAUGCUAGGAGGAAAGCAAAACGUCCCAAAGAUGCUUGAUCAACGGACUGGUCUCUGAGUAAACAGCUCGCUUGGCGUGUUAAGAAAACAAAGUAAUUCAGCACUGAAAAUCGUGCGUUCCGAUCGACAAACCGCGGCAGAACCCAAAGCAAGUUCUCCUUUUACGGGAGUUUUUCUUUUCCGCUGCAAGCGGGAUCGAAUCGACGAACCGUGGAAAGAUCUUCACGACCCAAAGGAUCCACGACUGCGAGCCUAACUUAAAGUUCGCCCUGCGUGCACGGUCGGUCGCCCACGGCCCCCCACCACAUACAACUGUGCACCAAAUUGCACAGCUAGCCGUCUCCUUGUCUUUAUAAAGCUAGCCGGGCAAACUUUUCCUGAUCUGUAUUUAGGCCCGAGUCAGGGCCGAACAUCGAAGCCAUCACGAGUCAAUGCCGUAUUAAUCGUUUAGGUGAUACGGGCAGUGGCGCUAGCGUUUAGUAGGCGAUACGGGGGGCAGUGGCGGUAGUUGACUGGCGAGGACGGAAGAUCCUUUUGGGGUUCUUAAUUAAUCAGAGACGGAGAUUAAGAAGUCGAGAAAGAAGAGCCGUAAAGGGUGGUGUGGGACAGUGGGAGAGAAGGCUAGUGGUGUUCAUUGUCCACGGUAGCUCCAUUUUAUUGACCGCGCAAGACGAUAUACGUGGAUGCCUACCCAAGUUGGCCGCCACUGCUUACUCGCUACGCAUUUUGACGCAAGACAGAAGUACGAUUCAGACGUGGCUGUUGACGAUGCUUCUUCUGGGAUAAUCAAGCGCCACUACGUCGUCCGGUCGGUGGCGCACUCCGGUGGUGCAGGACGCCGCCCCGAUGGCCGACGCCCGCGCUCUCACGGAUCGCGGCCAGAUCAGGCCCUGAUUCAGGAGGUGGCUCCGUCUCCGACACAGGGAUUGGCACCAUUGUCCCGUGCUCAAGGUAGAUGAACCCAGAACCCCCAACAUGGACCUGGAUCCUGAUCUGGCUGAUUCCAUUCCUUCCUAUUCUAUGCUAGGUAUUAUUAUGUUAAGGCUAAUUGGAGGAAUUGUAUACAUGCCAUACUUGCAAAAACAUUGAUAAACCACAAAUCGUCCAAAUGAUUAGCAUAAUGUUAAACUAGUGAGAUUGAUUUGCAAUCAAUUGAUGUUUUCAUAAUUGAUUGAAAUCUUUCCAAAUUGGUCUUUGCUUCCUAGGUGGACUACACAUAUUGGUCCUACGUGGACAACAAAUUUGAUGUUUCAUGCUAGUCCAACAAAUUUAUCCCUAACUAAGUCUUGACCGUUGAAGUAAGAUUUGAUUGUUAAAAUAAUCUGGAUGACAUGGAUCAACGCUGUGCUUCAAUUUGGUACCCCUCAAUGUCCCAGGUGACGCGCGGAAAACAUCUUUGCUUCCGAACUACUGCCUCCGUCCCAAUAUAUGAUGCAUGCACGCGUCCCAAGAUCAUCAAUUUAACUACCAAAAUAUAAAUUAUAUGACAUAAAAACAUAUCAUUAGAAAGUUUAUUUGAUUACGAAUCUAAUGAUAUUUUUUUUUAUGAAAUACUCCCUCCAUUUCAUAAUUCUUGUUGAAAUAUUAAAUGUAUCUAGACACUUUUUAGAAAUAGAUACAUCCAUUUUUGAACAAAUUUGAGACAAGAAUUAUGAAACGGAGUGAGUAUGAUUUAGAUUUUGCUAGUUAAAUUUGUAAUCUUGGUAUGCGUGCGUGCCUCGUAUAUUGGGACGGAGAAACUAUCAAUUAGGCAUGAAAAAUAUUCUUCUCAAGAACAGAUUAUACAAAAUACUAAAACCGAGAAACUUUUCCUAAAUACUUGCGCUGAUCAAUUAGCUGUGCUAAUCGGCCACGUUGAUCAAUUCCUAAAUACUUGCGCUGAUCGUACGAACACAUGAAGGAAUCGACAUUGAUCCAUAACGGAAAGAAAAAAAAAAUCAGCAAACAAGGGAAAUGGUUGUCCGGAGCUGGUUUAUGUGCCAAACACAUUUAUGAGAUGGAGUGGAGCUGAGAUGAAGGAAAGUUUAGAGGCGGAAUGAAGUUAGAUAUUGGAGCGGAACUUAGAUGGAGUGAAGCCCUCCCAAACGGACACUUAGUGUCUUAGUAUUAGCUUUUGGUUCUCAUAAGCCAAUAACCCAACCAAACACUUCGUUCUUAUGAACUCCAGGAACUGAAUAAUGGGCCUCAGGUUACUCUAAGAAAAACAAAAUGGGCCUGUGUCGAAAAGCAAUAAUGGGCCUCAGGUCAAACACUAGUAUAGUACAGCAAACCAAUAGAUUGAUCGCCACAGCUUCAUCCAUCCCAGAAAUAACUUGUUGGGCGUUAUCGCUCCUCUGGUCGUCUGCCCAACGUUAAUUCCGAAUUCACAUCUCUGACACGUCACACGUUUGCGGCAUCGAAAAAGGAAGAAUUCCGAAUUCAUAAAAGACACAUUGUUGCAACUGUGGUCAAGACUGAAAGUGCGAUGGCAUCUCAAAAAAAAAAUGAGCAAUGGAAAUAUAAAGCGUAACAUGUUCCCCCCGCAAAAAAAAAAGCUUAACAUGUUCAAGAUGAGACUCAAUAACAGUGCACCGUCCGGUUGUUGUUCAUCUCGACGAGUCGGGUCGCACCAAAAGACCCUUCAGCGCUGUUCCAGCACAGCUGCACAGGUACCCCAUCCAAUUCAACCCUGCUGCUCGGGCCUUUUGGUCCCAUCACGAGCUCUAUACUGCAUCGCCAUGCCACUAGACCAGGGCAUUGCUUUGUCCGGGCUCCGGCUUGCGACCUCACGAAAGAGGGGAACUGGCUCGGUUGCUGAUUCGCCAGUGCUUUCGGCUUCGGGCUUCGUCUAGAUUCACUCCAUGUCUCCAUGUGAGCCCAUGCUUCAUCUUUAGCUCGUUUCGGCAGCAGGAAAAGAGAACUCGGCCUCGUCCUCGAUCUCGAGACUAGCACGAAAGCACUGGAAUCAUAAAUUAUUUAUGCUCAAGCGGAGCGGACACACGUAUGCCCUUCGUCCCAUGCGUGGUUCCUGAAAAGCAUUCAGGGAAUCAUGUCGCUCGUACGCCCUCUGCAAAGGAAGAGAUUCUCGCGUGUGGACUUUGAUCCAUGCACCUAGGCACUGCUACCUAGCCAUGAAUGCAUGGUGCGUCAGAGUAACAGAGAGAGCGUAUAUGACAGUAGUGAAGAGUUGUUUUCCUUUUCUUCGAAGAGUCACAUGCGUUAGAAGUGCGUGAGAAUCUCUUCUACCCGAAUGAAGAAUCACUGUCUCGCAACAAAAAAAGAAAAAGAAUGAAGAAUCACACCACUGGCAAGGACGAACAGGGGGCGUGUUCAUACCUGGGGUGGGGAAAACUGUUUGGAAGCAUAUGUGUGCACACAGGCUCUCAGUGGCACACGAUGACUGCUAAUCGAUGUAACAAAUGGAUUUAGCCAAUCUCAGCCAUCGUAACAAAUGGAGUACAUUCCCAGGCCUGUGCAUACGGUAACAUGACGUUGUCAUCUUACCUGGUUCAUUGUGAGAUUAUUUUUACCAAAAGGGAAGUAAAAUGGAAGUGCUUGCUAUAUAGAGUAAUUUUAAACACUUGUACGGAGAAAGUGAUUGCUAGUCUCAUGAUCAUGUGGAGCGAGGGCAUCCUUAUCGAAACCGCCAGCUAUUGACAAAGCACCUCGUUUCGGCACGCCAAUGUGAAACAUUACGAAAGCAAAGCUAAGCUAGAUGAGGGGUGAAUUGCAGAAUGGGUGAAAAUAUGCGCAGGCACGUAAAUAUCAGAGCAAUUAUUGGGUCCUGAGUCCUGACUAUGUUGUCCGUACCCUGUUAACAUUACAUGUAGUUCAGUAUCUUUGUCUAGCUACUACCUAGCUCUCACUACGGUUCAGCAUAUGUUCGUUACAAACAUCCCUACACCGAGGUAUUUAUUGAAAGUACACUAGCUAAAUAACGGUGUUAUGCUUCGAGAUAACUUGGUCAGCAUUUGUUUGUGUGUACAGAAUUAGCUAGCAGCGACCAAUCACAGAUAGGACGACUUCACCGACGGGGACAAUUCUCUUAGACGUCAGAUUAGUGCGUCGUCCAAUAUGAUUUUUAAACUACUCCAUUAUUAGUACUAGCAUUUCUCUUCAUGUGCCGACCAAUUUAAACGCCGAUUCCACCUUCGAGUGUUUUCGGUGUCAGCAUCAUUAAAGACGAGAAUUGUUAGCGUCUCGAUUUCUGGGGGGCAGAGCAAUCUCUCCCUGUUUUCCUGCAAGCAUGGCGGAGGGAAGAAGACAAUUGUCUCCAGCCUUUCAGAAAGAGGCGAUCAGACUGAGGUGAGAGCUUUCGCCACACACUUGUGGGCAGCACCGUCCGUUCGUGACAGUAGUAUUCCAUGUGUCUUGCUCCGAUGAAUUUACAGCAGAUUCAUUGCAAAAUCUGGAGAUAUAUAGCAGUAAUGCCACUUGCAUAGUCAAAUGGGUGAGAUUUUGAUUUAGACACAAGUAAAUUGGUCGUUACAAUUAUUGCAUCUAUCUAGUAUACCAAAGGCAAAAACAAAAUGAUGUCCGAAGUGAACCAUCAUCCAUGUCAUCUGAAUUAUUUUGGCAUUUGGAUCAUAUAUUUACGGUGAAUAUUCAAUAAGAAAAUGAUAUUUGACGGUACAACAAUGAAACAUUGAAGUGGUUUAAGGCUCAUGUGGGUCCGAUAUGUAUUUUUGUUGUUUUAUCCACGAGUCAGAAGAAUAUUCUCUAUACUAUAAUUUUACGGAGUAAGUAGUAAUCGCACCUCCAUUUACGGAGUAAGUAGUACUCGCACCUCCAUUCGCCGUAAUCUAUAAUAUAAUUUUAAAAAUUGCAAUAAACUGGUACUUGCAAAGUUAUAACUCUACAAACGUAUAAGCUACAUUUUUAAUAAUUGUUACUGAAUAACAUAACCUAUGAGUUAUUGACUGCCUAGCGAACCAUACAUUCACUAAUCAAAAUUGCUUCAAAGUAAAAAAAAACUCGCGAUCUAAAUUUAACCCGGAUAUUGAUAUAAUAAUUUCAUAAAACAUUAAUAUCACAUUAUGGUUUAUUAUCACAAAUAAUCUACAAACUAAUAUAAGUUGGCAAAUAACCGAUUGACCAAUUCGGUAUGUGAACUUUAAUUUUUCAUUGUCCCAUGGUUCAAAUCACAUAAGAACCUACAAAUUUUCAUUGACAAAAAGUCUAUCAAUAAGAUUUAGGAAACACAUUUUCCGUGACACUAAAGUGUUGUGUUUGUCUAUCAAUUUUUUUAUUUGGACUGUGUGUAUCAAUGACUUCCUUCGUAUCUUUUUUUUUUCGAGAAAAAACACUAUGAAAAAAAAAGCAUGGCCUAGUAGUUGAUCGCCAGUGCAAGGAUCUAGAGUGUAUCCUUUCAUGAUCUUCUUUAAUUUGUUGCCUUAGAUUUGAAUUUUUCAUAAGAAAUUGAAAUUUAUCAACAACUCUAACUUGUUACUCCGUAUUUCAACCCACGUGAAGCAAUGAUACACUUUUUAGCCUUUUCACAGCUGUUAAAAAAAAGUACUGUUACUACAUAAAGCCAUGAUUAUAAUAAGGAACAGUAUUAGGGCAGGGCGCCUAUGCCCUCACCUAUCAGGCAAUCGUCAUUUCUCUCUGCUAGUCCUGCAUUAUCGUGUGAUCCCGGUCAGGCUUUCACAUGGCCGUACUGUGAAACGCUUGCAUCGAGACGUUAUACUGGAGGACAUGCCUGCAUUGAGCAAUGUAAAUACCACCUGCUCCUCUGGGCCCCCCUACCUUGGCAACAACUAGCUUUUUUUUUUUCGAACACUGGCCACUAGCUAGGCUAGGCUCUCUCGUCUCGAAGGUCUCAGACUACUCCUACACGGUACACCCCCGGCUCCGGCCGGAGUGACCAACGGGGAAGCCUCCCUCUCUCCCCCACAUGCUUAUCCUCUCGCCACAGUACGCCCCAUCACAUGCGCCCGCAAGCAUCCAAGAGUGCCCCGUGUAUAUAAAGAGUGGCAUGGGUUACCAUUUUUCUCACAACCACACUGAUCCAAGCUUGCCAAAGAGUAGGCACUGCAGUGAGGGAGUGAGUGAGAAUGGGUGGCAAAGCCGUUCUCCUGGUGGCCCUCUUGGCCGUGAGCCUGGUGGUCCAGAUCCAGGCGGACAGCGGCUACACCCCGACGCCGGUGACCCCGUCUCCCAAGCCCGAGAAGCCACCCAAGGGCCACAAGCCGCCCCACCACCACCACCACGCCAAGCCUCCGGCUGGCUCCCACAAGCCGGCGCCUCCCACGGCCACUCCUCCCACGCCGGCGUACAAGCCACCCACGGCCACGCCUCCGGCUCCGACGCCACCGAAGUACACUCCGUCCCCGAAGCCACCGACGCCUAAGCCCACACCACCCACGUAUACCCCGACCCCGAAGCCGCCCACUCCCACACCAAAGCCCACGCCGCCAACGUACAAGCCGGCACCCAAGCCCACUCCUCCCACGUAUAAGCCCACACCCAAGCCCUCGCCGCCGACGUACCCGCCGAAGCCAACACCACCCACCUACAAGCCGGCGCCGAAGCCGACUCCCCCGACCUACAAGCCGGCGCCGAAGCCGACACCGCCCACCUACAAGCCCGCGCCGAAGCCGACGCCCCCGACCUACAAGCCGGACCCCAAGCCGACUCCCCCGACGUACAAGCCCGCGCCGAAGCCGGCCCCCAAGCCUACGCCCCCGAACUACAAGCCGGCGCCGAAGCCGACGCCGCCGUCGUACAAGCCGGCCCCGAAGCCCACUCCCCCGGCACCGAAGCCCACGCCGCCGACACCACCAGCCUACAAGCCGGCGCCGAAGCCGAGCCCUCCGACGCCCGCCCCGCCGGCGUACAAGCCUCCGACUCCGACUCCUCCGGCGUACAAGACCCCCACUCCGAGCCCGCCGCCGCCGCC